This 824-nucleotide small RNA is filed under the name Dendryphiella paravinosa. Its description in RNAcentral is "eukaryotic LSU rRNA". It matches the Rfam family "Eukaryotic large subunit ribosomal RNA", at positions 50 to 910 of the family's 3401-position model. Lineage: Eukaryota; Fungi; Ascomycota; Dothideomycetes; Pleosporales; Dictyosporiaceae. The record is from RNAcentral.
GCGGAGGAAAAGAAACCAACAGGGAUUGCCCUAGUAACGGCGAGUGAAGCGGCAAUAGCUCAAAUUUGAAAUCUGGUCUCCUUUGGGGGCCCGAGUUGUAAUUUGCAGAGGGCGCUUUGGCGUCGGCAGCGGUCUAAGUUCCUUGGAACAGGACGUCACAGAGGGUGAGAAUCCCGUACGUGGUCGCCUGCCUUCGCCGUGUAAAGCCCCUUCGACGAGUCGAGUUGUUUGGGAAUGCAGCUCUAAAUGGGAGGUAAAUUUCUUCUAAAGCUAAAUACUGGCCAGAGACCGAUAGCGCACAAGUAGAGUGAUCGAAAGAUGAAAAGCACUUUGGAAAGAGAGUCAAACAGCACGUGAAAUUGUUGAAAGGGAAGCGCUUGCAGCCAGACGUGCCCGUGGUGGUUCUCCUCCGCGGGCAGGCCAGCAUCAGUUCGAGCGGUCGGAUAAAGGCCUCUGUCACGUAUCUACCUUCGGGUUGACCUUAUAGGGGAGGCGUAAUGCGAUCAGCUCGGACUGAGGUCCGCGCAUCUGCUAGGAUGCUGGCGUAAUGGCUGUAAGCGGCCCGUCUUGAAACACGGACCAAGGAGUCUAACAUCUAUGCGAGUGUUUGGGUGUCAAGCCCGGGCGCGCAAUGAAAGUGAACGGAGGUGGGAACCCUUUCUUGGGGUGCACCAUCGACCGAUCCUGAAGUCUUCGGAUGGAUUUGAGUAAGAGCAUAGCUGUUGGGACCCGAAAGAUGGUGAACUAUGCUUGAAUAGGGUGAAGCCAGAGGAAACUCUGGUGGAGGCUCGCAGCGGUUCUGACGUGCAAAUCGAUCGUCAAAU